CCUUCGGUAGCUCAGCUGGUAGAGCGGAGGGCUGUAGACUUGAUGACGUGUGGACAUCCUUAGGUCGCUGGUUCGAUUCCGGCUCGAAGGA
Molecule: transfer RNA, 91 nt
Filed under: Eschrichtius robustus (grey whale)
Lineage: Eukaryota; Metazoa; Chordata; Mammalia; Artiodactyla; Eschrichtiidae
Rfam family: tRNA
About the family: Transfer RNA (tRNA) molecules are approximately 80 nucleotides in length. Their secondary structure includes four short double-helical elements and three loops (D, anti-codon, and T loops). Further hydrogen bonds mediate the characteristic L-shaped molecular structure. tRNAs have two regions of fundamental functional importance: the anti-codon, which is responsible for specific mRNA codon recognition, and the 3' end, to which the tRNAs corresponding amino acid is attached (by aminoacyl-tRNA synthetases). tRNAs cope with the degeneracy of the genetic code in two manners: having more than one tRNA (with a specific anti-codon) for a particular amino acid; and 'wobble' base-pairing, i.e. permitting non-standard base-pairing at the 3rd anti-codon position.
Source: Rfam by way of RNAcentral